UGGGGAAUAUUGCACAAUGGGCGCAAGCCUGAUGCAGCCAUGCCGCGUGUGUGAAGAAGGCCGUCGGGUUGUAAAGCACUUUCAGCGGGGAGGAAGGCGAUAAGGUUAAUAACCUCAUCGAUUGACGUUACCCGCAGAAGAAGCACCGGCUAACUCCGUGCCAGCAGCCGCGGUAAUACGGAGGGUGCAAGCGUUAAUCGGAAUUACUGGGCGUAAAGCGCACGCAGGCGGUCUGUCAAGUCGGAUGUGAAAUCCCCGGGCUCAACCUGGGAACUGCAUUCGAAACUGGCAGGCUAGAGUCUUGUAGAGGGGGGUAGAAUUCCAGGUGUAGCGGUGAAAUGCGUAGAGAUCUGGAGGAAUACCGGUGGCGAAGGCGGCCCCCUGGACAAAGACUGACGCUCAGGUGCGAAAGCGUGGGGAGCAAACAGG
RNAcentral lists this ribosomal RNA (429 nucleotides) under Chloroflexota bacterium. RNAcentral's name for it is "Chloroflexi bacterium partial 16S ribosomal RNA". It matches the Rfam family "Bacterial small subunit ribosomal RNA", at positions 355 to 776 of the family's 1533-position model. Lineage: Bacteria; Bacillati; Chloroflexota. The record is from RNAcentral.